Molecule: transfer RNA, 73 nt
Filed under: Deltaproteobacteria bacterium
Lineage: Bacteria; Pseudomonadati; Myxococcota; Myxococcia
Description: tRNA-Lys
Rfam family: tRNA
About the family: Transfer RNA (tRNA) molecules are approximately 80 nucleotides in length. Their secondary structure includes four short double-helical elements and three loops (D, anti-codon, and T loops). Further hydrogen bonds mediate the characteristic L-shaped molecular structure. tRNAs have two regions of fundamental functional importance: the anti-codon, which is responsible for specific mRNA codon recognition, and the 3' end, to which the tRNAs corresponding amino acid is attached (by aminoacyl-tRNA synthetases). tRNAs cope with the degeneracy of the genetic code in two manners: having more than one tRNA (with a specific anti-codon) for a particular amino acid; and 'wobble' base-pairing, i.e. permitting non-standard base-pairing at the 3rd anti-codon position.
Source: RNAcentral
GGGCCGUUAGCUCAGACGGCAGAGCUGCUGGCUUUUAACCAGAAGGUCACAGGUUCGAUUCCUGUACGGCCCA